CGUCGAUCGAUCAAAAAAAAACAGCCAAUGAUCUCUUAACUAACAUAAUUACAAAUGUUGCAGUACUUACAGAGCCCAUCAAUGUGUUUUAUAAUGAGAGUAUCCACCACCACCGCUGCUUUACUUAGCAACACAGUCUGGGCAAUGUCGCGCAAAGACGAGCUAGACAUGCUGCUUGUGAUUACUUUCAAUAUUAAUGUCGAAACUUAAAAAAGAAAAAGUUAUUUGAAGAUGCAAUGGCUGUCAGAGUAUGUGAAUAAUGGAAGAAAAAGUGGUUAAACUGGAGGAGAUUUUCUCUUUUCGAGUGGGAAAGGUCUGGUCUGAAGCCAGCCAAAGUAGAAAGUGCAGGAUGAGAUGGUGUGUAAUCAACCUGCCUGAUCCAGGAUGAAAGCAAAGACAAUCCAGUGCACAAAAAGCAAAUCCUGCAUUUUAAAUAUAGGAGGCAACAUAACAUUAACCUUAAAACUGUUUGGGAGCAUCAUUCAGCUUUCAACAUGUCUCACUAAAAGAUAUUCUGCAAUCAAUAAUUCAGUUUUAUGUCAAGAAAAACAGACAGGGAUAUCAUUGUGGGUUUAAAAAAAAUGAAAAAAAUGGAAGCAACCUUUCAAAUUUGUAGUUCAUAGUUUGCUUGGGUGCCCUGCGAUUAGCUGGAAAUCAGUUCAGGGCGUAAACUGCCUACUGCCCGUUGACAGCUUGGAUAGGCUCCAGCACUCCCCGCGACCCUUGUGAGGAAAAGCGGCUAAGAAGAUGGAUGGAUGGAUGAAUGGAUAGUUGGCUUGGUUUGGUUUGCAAUGCAUUUUUUUGUUUGGCUUCACUGUGACGACAGUGGGACACGAGGAGAGAAAAAAAAAUGUUGGCAGCGGACAGCAUGAAGCCAACUAAAUUCAUGCGCAAUUCAAACAGGUUCCACCCCAGUCAUGCUGAUAAAACGAUGGAUUAUUUUCAGCGAAACGUCUCGAAUAUUGCUCACAAUCAUCCCGCCUUGUGAAAGCUACUUCAGUAAACGAGGGAGGACUCUUAGCAUCAUACAAGGUAGCGUACCAAAUUGCUCAGUGCAAAAAACUCCACAUCAUUGCAGAUAUAUUCAUAUUUGUUUUAGUUAAAGUGUUUUAUAUUUUGUGCUCCUGAGUUAAUGUUGCUGAACAGAAUUUGAAGUUAUUAUUUUUUAUUGAUUUUAUUUUUCGCAAUAAAAUGGUGCAAUAAGUCGGUCAAAAAUGUUUAUUUCAGGCAAAUUGAUGUGCUGAAAAUAUUUUCUGUUCCAGACUGCCGAUGUUCAUAAAGUUGUUCUCUGUUGUAAAUUGAACCAUGUUUCCCAUUCAUUUUUUGUUUUCUUUAAUGUUAAUAAGGAUACAAUGUCAUGCAGAGCUUGACUGUUAAUAAUUUUAUCGACAAAUGAUAAUAUUUAUAGUCACGGUGGAGAGGUACAGGUACCCUUUUGUGGUGUGAAAUAGCCACUAAAGUGGACUGAAAUGCUCCCGUCUGAACCAGAAAUGCUUCUUGAAAGUCAACAAACACCCAAAUCUGUCAAGGUAUGUUUUAAUCUGUCAAAUGUUAUUUUGUUUUUCUCAUCUGUUAUUAUUUGGAUUUUGGGGUCAAUUUCCACCACUUUCCAAGAGAUCUGUCUGUUGGGAUAAGAGUUUUUGACAAAAACUAGAGGUAUUUCCAGAUGAGUGUAUUCCAGCGCUCUCCCUUGAUGUUUGGAGCCUCCAAGCAAGGACAUGAAUCGGAUGUUGAUGAAUUAUUCUGCUUCCACACUGAACACUUCAAACACCAGCACGUGACCAAAGAAAUAACGUCAACAGUGAAUGAAUCCAUUUCAAGACCAUCUGAAGAUCCAUCCAUCGGAAACUAUUGACUCCACUGACUUUUUCUUUGGAAUGGAAGCAGACUGCCUCGUUGGUGAAAUACGAUUGGACAGCUCCAUUUGCAAGGCAUCAGCCUCAAGUGAAGAAUCACUGUUGACUCAAUCACAACAAUUACUGAUUUUAUGAAAUAUGUGUUAUCUGGUUUCUAUCCUGGAAACACUAAUUUUUUUAUUCAUAUUUGUCAAAAUGAUGCAGUGUCAAUCACAACAAACUGUCACCUGACAAUGAAACAUAUUGUAUUUAUCUGCCUGGCCUAAUUAGCAUCAAUGAGGUGCUGGCCCUUGUUUGAAUUUGUCAUGUCGAGGUGGGUUGUUAUUCGACAAUAGAGGAAUUUGGCUCACCUUUGACCUUUGGCUCAAGGCUCUUGUUGAUCCCAACCCACCCUGUCGUCCUCAUCGUAAGGACACAAGCUCAAGUACAAAGAAGACGCAAAUCUUUACGGGACUCUUUAUUCCUUCGAUUUUUUUCUGUCAUACGUGACUUUGACUUUCCAUGGAGGUCGUCAGGGGCGUGGCCAGGAGCUCCUCACCUGCACCUCAUUGACACUGAUUAGGAAACGCAUUGAAGUCUUGUGUGUCUGAUUGUAAGUUGUGUUCGUUGUGCUUUGCGUUUUGUGAGUGAAUCUUCCUUGCUUCAACUUUU
Molecule: long non-coding RNA, 2507 nt
Organism: Syngnathoides biaculeatus (alligator pipefish)
Lineage: Eukaryota; Metazoa; Chordata; Actinopteri; Syngnathiformes; Syngnathidae
Exons: 2
Source: RefSeq, a predicted model, not a curated record